GUGCUUGCUCUGGCACCACUUCUACUAAAACUGGAAGGGCACAAAGAAGCUUAGCGUGACCCCUGGGCAAGGGUGACCCGCAUGUUAGUGAAUUGUUCUGUAUUUAA
Molecule: small nuclear RNA, 107 nt
Organism: Cavia porcellus (domestic guinea pig)
Lineage: Eukaryota; Metazoa; Chordata; Mammalia; Rodentia; Caviidae
Source: Ensembl